Molecule: long non-coding RNA, 337 nt
Organism: Pipra filicauda (Wire-tailed manakin)
Lineage: Eukaryota; Metazoa; Chordata; Aves; Passeriformes; Pipridae
Exons: 3
Source: RefSeq, a predicted model, not a curated record
AUCUGACCCUAAGUGCUGUGGUCUCACUUUUGUGUCUGCACUGAGUUUGUUACUUGGUGCCAAAUGAUCCUCUCUUCAUCAGGAUAAAGUCACUACAUUAUCAGCUUUUCACACCAGCUACUCAUCUCAACUGGAGAAAACAGCACUUGGGAGUCAGAGAGGAAAAGUGUUCAGUGAAGAAAUUCAGUGAUGAGAGAAGAGUUUCAUUGGUGUUGGAAGGCAAACACAGAAAAGUAAACACAGCCCAGUGGAUUACAACAGAUGAAUGGUCACCACUUAGUAACAACAUUAAAUCCUGCCUUUCAAGAGUCAAAAGGACUGGAAUCUGCUUCUAAGG